Gordionus sp. m RMFG-2023 is the source of this 996-nucleotide long non-coding RNA. RefSeq lists it as uncharacterized. NCBI's taxonomy places the organism in Eukaryota, Metazoa, Nematomorpha, Gordioida, Chordodea, Parachordodidae. The transcript has 5 exons. The record is from RefSeq and is a predicted model, not a curated record.
UUAUAUAAAUACUUAUCUUUUUUUGUGAUAGAUUCAGUUUAUUCAGUCAUCAGAUGCCUGAAUUUUUUAAGAUAUUUCUUUUAUUGUAUUUAUUCAAUUUGCUUGAUUAUCUCAUAUUCAAAUAUAACAUUAUCUCUCGCUAUUUAAAACCAUCACUUAAAUAUAAAGAUAUAUAUAAAGAAGUUUUAAAGUUGGAAUCUGAAAAACGAAACAUUAAUGUUGUAGAUGAAUUUCCAAAUUUUGCAAGAUUGCAAAGAAAAAUCAAUGCUCAUAAGGAAGAUAUUGAAAAAAUAGAAAAAGAUCAAAAGCAACAAAUCAAAAGAUACAAAACUCUUUUAAAAUAUAUAAUAUAUACAAUGAAGAUCUUGUUAUCUUUAUAUUAUAUUUGGCAAUAUUAUUCCAAAAUUUUAGUGGCAAUACCUAAAGAGUGGUUAUUUCCCUGCUAUUAUUUUUUACCAAAGUCAAUACAAUCAGGAAAUAUCUAUAUAAUCCCAUGGCUAUUUCUUUCUGAAGAAGCUUCAAAGGCCUUAAUUAAUCAAAUGUUUAUAACAGUGUUUAAUAAAUAAUAUAUAUAUAUCCCAUUUUGUUUAAUUUUAAAAAUGAUUAUUUAUUUUAUUUAAAAUUUAUUUCACAAUUUUUGUAUUCCUCUAUAUAAAUAUAACAUUUAAGAAGAUAUACAAACAAGAGUGCCCUAAAAUCCCUUUUCAUUGCCCAGUUAAAAAAUUAAACUUGGUAUGGCUUGUAUAUUAUAAAUUAGAUUUAAAAAAUUAUCAAAUUUAAAAUGUUUAUUUAUUAUUUUCUUUAAUUUCUUGUUUAUUUAUAUGUUAUGGGUGCAUUAAAUUUAAAUAUUUAGUUAUAUAACUGAUAAUAUUAUUGUGUAUUCUAUUUAUAUGAAUAUGAAACAUUUAUAAAUUAUUUUGAUGUGAACAUAACAAAGGAUCUAAUAUAUUCAGUGUUGAAAUGAUCUAAUAUAUUCAAUUGAACAGUAGCUAACUU